GACGAACGGCCCAAGCGUUGUUCGGAAUCACUGGGCUUAAAGGGCGCGCAGGCGGCCGAGCAAGUCAGGGGUGAAAUCCGGCAGCUCAACUGUCGAAGUGCCUUUGAUACUGAUUUGCUCGAGGGAUAUAGGGGUCUGUGGAACCUCUGGUGGAGCGGUGAAAUGCGUUGAUAUCAGAAGGAACGCCGGUGGCGAAAGCGACGGACUGGAUAUCUUCUGACGCUGAGGCGCGAAAGCUAGGGGAGCAAACGGG
RNAcentral lists this ribosomal RNA (253 nucleotides) under uncultured bacterium. RNAcentral describes it as "partial 16S ribosomal RNA". It matches the Rfam family "Bacterial small subunit ribosomal RNA", at positions 524 to 776 of the family's 1533-position model. The record is from RNAcentral.